GGAAUAUUGGACAAUGGGGGCAACCCUGAUCCAGCGACGCCGCGUGGGUGAAGAAGGCCUGCGGGUUGUAAAGCCCUUUCGGUGGGGAAGAAAAGCCUCGACCUAAUACGUCGGGGUCUUGACGUAACCCACAAAAGAAGCACCGGCUAACUCUGUGCCAGCAGCCGCGGUAAUACAGAGGGUGCGAGCGUUAAUCGGAAUUACUGGGCGUAAAGCGCACGUAGGCGGCUCUGCAAGUCGGGUGUGAAAUCCCCGGGCUCAACCUGGGAACUGCAUUCGAUACUGCAUUGCUAGAGUAUGGGAGAGGGAAGUGGAAUUUCCGGUGUAGCGGUGAAAUGCGUAGAUAUCGGAAGGAACACCAGUGGCGAAAGCGACUUCCUGGACCAAUACUGACGCUCAGGUGCGAAAGCGUGGGGAGCAAAC
Molecule: ribosomal RNA, 423 nt
Filed under: uncultured bacterium
Lineage: Bacteria
Description: bacterial SSU rRNA
Rfam family: Bacterial small subunit ribosomal RNA
Source: RNAcentral